Molecule: long non-coding RNA, 1228 nt
Filed under: Bos mutus (wild yak)
Lineage: Eukaryota; Metazoa; Chordata; Mammalia; Artiodactyla; Bovidae
Description: lncRNA (ENSBMUG00000014750.1)
Source: RNAcentral
GAGGGCUUGUUCCCCUGCAGUAUCUGUUCUGUGAAGUUUGUUAAAUGUAAGGAAAGCUUAAAUUCUUGUAUCUUUAAAAGAGAAAAAUCUUAUUUAACCCUUUUGUGUUCUAGAUUUACUUACACACAUAGCCUAGAGCCCAGUUUUAGUUUUAACAUUGUGAAAAUAUUAAAUCUUAUAUCUUUUUUUUUUUUUCUCCUGCUGAAAAAAAAAAUUAAACCAAUCGUAUGACAGUCUGGAUUUCUCUGUUUCGCCGGUUUUCCUAAGUGCCACCUGGAUGACCAGGAAAAUAGUAAAAGGUCCCCCCGGGCCAGAGGGUGAACGAGGUGGAGGCUCUGUGGGGUGCUCACUCGUCCCUCAGAGUCCAGGCUCCGCAGCUGCUGCGCCGGGUUCUCUCGGGUGGCUCUGCCUCAGGUGACUCCGUGAUUAAGCCCGUGAACCGGUGCUACCUGCAAAGGAUUUGAACCUUGCCCGAGCCCGAGUCCCCUGCUCCUCCUGUUUCCCUGUCAGCAGUGAAUGCGCCGCCUGAGGAGGUGCUGAGUGGACAAGAAUGCCAGGCUCUAAUUGGCAACCAGGGGCUGGACGCUGAGGGAGGUGGUCACCCAUCCACGGUGAGCAAGCAAGAGGCUCCGUUUGUUACCAGAGCCCUCCUCCUACGGUGAAAAGCUGCCCCUCAACCCAGGGGUUCCACUCACCCCACACGGGGGGAUACAGACAGAGAUCAGAGUGAAGGGCACUGAGGGGGACCCGCAGAAAGACAACCGUCUGGUUUAUUCAUGCAGCUUGAAGCGACACUACCCCGGGACCGAUAAGCCACUCACAUCUAUGUAACACUGGGAGGAAAGAGCCGACCCACUGGCUCUUUGCACACCUAUGACCAAUGUGUGCUUAAGACAGAAAGAAAGUGCCCACCCUGCCUUAGGCAGGGUGCGCGGAGGGCCUGACGGCCGCAGCCGGCCACCGGGAGAAGCUGGGGAGGGGCUCUCAGAGGGCGGUUAGCGCUGGGCGGACAUCACUCAGACACGCAGGCCAGAUCAAGUGACAACUGUCAGAUUAGAUGGUCUCGGUGAGGAUUAAGAGGAAAGCUGCUUAGAACUGUUCCCCCCGCCCCCAUCCCCCCAAUCCCUGGCUGAGUAUUAUGGUCUGGGGGAAAAGCAGCAACCACUGAUCACCAGCGGGCGGGAGAGGCCCCUCUUGUAUUCCAGACCCUGACCAGCAGGAUGGCCGU